RNAcentral lists this ribosomal RNA (743 nucleotides) under uncultured bacterium. RNAcentral's name for it is "bacterial SSU rRNA". It matches the Rfam family "Bacterial small subunit ribosomal RNA", at positions 28 to 773 of the family's 1533-position model. The record is from RNAcentral.
GAGGACCUUUGGCGGCGUGCCUAACACAUGCAAGUCGAACGAAGCACCUUUUGAGAUUCUUCGGAUGAUCGAUCGGUGACUGAGUGGCGGACGGGUGAGUAACGCGUGGGUAACCUGCCCUGUACAGGGGGAUAACAGCUGGAAACGGCUGCUAAUACCGCAUAAGCGCACGAGGAGACAUCUCCUUGUGUGAAAAACUCCGGUGGUACAGGAUGGGCCCGCGUCUGAUUAGCUGGUUGGCAGGGUAACGGCCUACCAAGGCAACGAUCAGUAGCCGGUCUGAGAGGAUGAACGGCCACAUUGGAACUGAGACACGGUCCAAACUCCUACGGGAGGCAGCAGUGGGGAAUAUUGCACAAUGGGGGAAACCCUGAUGCAGCAACGCCGCGUGAGUGAAGAAGUAUUUCGGCAUGUAAAGCUCUAUCAGCAGGGAAGAUAAUGACGGUACCUGACUAAGAAGCUCCGGCUAAAUACGUGCCAGCAGCCGCGGUAAUACGUAAGGAGCAAGCGUUAUCCGGAUUUACUGGGCGUAAAGGGUGCGUAGGUGGCAGUGCAAGUCAGAUGUGAAAGGCCGGGGCUCAACCCCGGAGCUGCAUUUGAAACUGCUCGGCUAGAGUACAGGAGAGGCAGGCGGAAUUCCUAGUGUAGCGGUGAAAUGCGUAGAUAUUAGGAGGAACACCAGUGGCGAAGGCGGCCUGCUGGACUGUUACUGACACUGAGGCACGAAAGCGUGGGGAGCAAAC